CCUACGGGUGACAGCAGUGAGGAAUAUUGGUCAAUGGACGAGAGUCUGAACCAGCCAAGUAGCGUGAAGGAUGACUGCCCUAUGGGUUGUAAACUUCUUUUAUAUGGGAAUAAAACGUUCCACGUGUGGGAUUUUGUAUGUACCAUAUGAAUAAGGAUCGGCUAACUCCGUGCCAGCAGCCGCGGUAAUACGGAGGAUCCGAGCGUUAUCCGGAUUUAUUGGGUUUAAAGGGAGCGUAGGUGGAUGGUUAAGUCAGUUGUGAAAGUUUGAGGCUCAACCGUAAAAUUGCAGUUGAAACUGGCAGUCUUGAGUACAGGAGAGGUGGGCGGAAUUCGUGGUGUAGCGGUGAAAUGCUUAGAUAUCACGAAGAACUCCGAUUGCGAAGGCAGUUCACUGGACUGCAACUGACACUGAGGCUCGAAAGUGUGGGUAUCAAACAGGAUUAGAUACCCGGGUAGUC
This 460-nucleotide ribosomal RNA is filed under the name uncultured bacterium. RNAcentral's name for it is "partial 16S ribosomal RNA". It matches the Rfam family "Bacterial small subunit ribosomal RNA", at positions 338 to 795 of the family's 1533-position model. The record is from RNAcentral.